CCACUUAAUCUCAUAUUUGUGGCCUUUGUUCACUAAACACACGAGAUCCUUUAGCCACAUCACCGAAUUUAUGAUGGUCUUUCUUUUUUAGGAUGCGGCUGAUUUCGGCAUGCCGAACUCCUUGGCCAACACAGACACAUGCACACUUGAUUCAUAUGCCACGAUCAAACCUUUCUCAAAUUCAAUAGUUUUGCGCACUAUUUUCCUUUUUUUCAGCAGCUUUACUACUUCCACUUGCUUUCUUUGGUGCCAUGCAGAAAUAAUAACAGUCCAAUUUGCGUCGAUCUCAACAAACACGUCUGCUUUAAAAAAAAUCUUUAUUGAAUACGUCUGCUCACAAUGGACGCUCAAUCUUAAAAAAAAACAUCGAUUGAACACAUCUGCUCACAACAGAGGCGUCACUUCUUCGUCAACCCAAGGAAACGUCACUUCCUCGUGCAAGGAAUUUGAAUGCCGCAUUCAAGUGCGCCCAGUAUGGUCGAGAACCGAAUUUCGGCCAUAAUGCGAGGCAUAAAAAAAUAUAUUUUUGGUCAAAAACCGAUUUGGUCGAGAAUAGAGACGUUCGAAAACCGAGGUUGACAUGAUGACGGAAAGGCGGCCCAGCCACUGGCAAAGGACAAAUGUUGGAGCGCCAAUGUUUACUCCUCUGUUCAUUAUUACAGAUGAUUGUAGUAUUUAUUUAAAAAUAUACUAAUAAUUAUUUAAAUAUACCAUGACGUACCUUGCAUAACUGUGUGAACCAAUAUUUCACAAUUAGUGUACAUUUUUCAUUCUUAGGCCCUACCCCAAUGAGCGGCGGACAAUUGUGAGUGAUUUCAAAGGCAGCGUGGCAAAGUGUUGUGGUUCAUCAGGGUUUACUCAAGGUCGCAAAUGCGCACCUGUACUUUGUUUGUCACAAGGAAAUUUUAAACCUUCUCAAAAUGUCUUCGCGACAAGGAAAAAACAAACAAAAAAACAUUCGCGAGCGAAUAUUCGGUAAACAGUUGCGACCUUCAAUGAACCCUGACAUGAACGUGGAUUUUUCUGCCCCCUCAGUGGGAUAGGGGCCUUACUCUACUCUCAUAACAUGCGCUGAAUGAUAUCAGCCAGGGAUGGAGUUGGGUCAGCUGCUAAAAUAAAAAAUAAAUAAAUAAAAUACUGCUUUGUGGAUAUGGGGUAAAAGAUGAGGAGACAAAUGAGAGUGAUGUCUCCUUCACUCUCUAGACCAGGGGUGGGCAAUUAUUUUCCCGGGGGGGCCAAAUGAGAAGCAGAAAUUAUUGGCCGGGCCAAAAGUUAGAAAUAGAAAUGAAAGAAGAUAGCACAAUGUCUUUGUAUGCCAGUAAUAAUGUAACAUUCUCCUCCACCAUCACACUCAGCACCGGUUCUCCUCAAGGAUGUGUACCGAGCCCCCUGUUGUUCACGCUCUACACAUUUGACUGCUCUCCGACUCUUAUUAGCGGUCCAGUUUGCGGAAAGUUUUUAACAUCAUAACAAUCAAACCAUUCUAGGAAAUGUUCAUUUAGUCAAGCCACAAGCAAUUCACUCUGAGCAUGGAAAUUGCCAGAAUCGGACUGAGUAAGAAUCGUUUCCUUGUUUUUCAAAGUCUCUUAGAUUUGAGUCUUUCCGACUCCAGGCGUCUCCUGAAUGUUUCGUACUUUGUUAACUGCUUCGUUUAAUCAGAUACAUAUCACUUUCCCUUCCAUGGUCAUUACUCUCUUCCUCUUUCUUCGUCUUCCCCUCCCUCCCUGUGCUCUGCAACUUGAAGUAACUGCGCCACCUGGUGUUGAAAUACCUGUCAUUACUAGUCCAAACGAAAUGAAAGCAAUCAAACCUUAA
Hippocampus zosterae (dwarf seahorse) is the source of this 1815-nucleotide long non-coding RNA. RefSeq lists it as uncharacterized. NCBI's taxonomy places the organism in Eukaryota, Metazoa, Chordata, Actinopteri, Syngnathiformes, Syngnathidae. The record is from RefSeq and is a predicted model, not a curated record. The transcript has 2 exons.